This 450-nucleotide ribosomal RNA is filed under the name uncultured bacterium. RNAcentral's name for it is "partial 16S ribosomal RNA". It matches the Rfam family "Bacterial small subunit ribosomal RNA", at positions 354 to 796 of the family's 1533-position model. The record is from RNAcentral.
GUGGGGAAUUUUGGACAAUGGGCGCAAGCCUGAUCCAGCAAUGCCGCGUGCAGGAAGAAGGCCUUCGGGUUGUAAACUGCUUUUGUACGGAACGAAACGGUCCUGGUUAAUACCUGGGGCUAAUGACGGUACCGUAAGAAUAAGCACCGGCUAACUACGUGCCAGCAGCCGCGGUAAUACGUAGGGUGCGAGCGUUAAUCGGAAUUACUGGGCGUAAAGCGUGCGCAGGCGGUUUUGUGAGACAGGCGUGAAAUCCCCGGGCUUAACCUGGGAAUUGCGCUUGUGACUGCAAGGCUGGAGUGCGGCAGAGGGGGAUGGAAUUCCGCGUGUAGCAGUGAAAUGCGUAGAUAUGCGGAGGAACACCGAUGGCGAAGGCAAUCCCCUGGGCCUGCACUGACGCUCAUGCACGAAAGCGUGGGGAGCAAACAGGAUUAGAAACCCGUGUAGUCC